AUAAAAUCUAAAACACAUCGACACAAAACGUCAGAGGACAACUUGAGGCAAGGGAUCAGGAAAAGGUCAGAGGUCAUUAGGUGGAGUAGAGGCGCCCGGCAUCGACUUGUCUUCUUUUGCGAC
Molecule: long non-coding RNA, 123 nt
Organism: Scomber japonicus (chub mackerel)
Lineage: Eukaryota; Metazoa; Chordata; Actinopteri; Scombriformes; Scombridae
Exons: 3
Source: RefSeq, a predicted model, not a curated record